CAGAGGGUGCGAGCGUUGUUCGGAAUUACUGGGCGUAAAGCGCGCGCAGGCGGCCUUUUAAGUCUACCCGUGAAAUGCCGGAGCUCAACUCCGUGCACGCCGGGGGAUACUGGGAGGCUGGAGACAUGUAGAGGCAAGCGGAAUUCCGGGUGUAGCGGUGGAAUGCGUAGAUAUCCGGAAGAACACCUGAGGCGAAGGCGGCUUGCUGGGCAUGAUCUGACGCUGAGGCGCGAAAGCGUGGGGAGCAAACAGGAUUAGAUACCCUGGUAGUCCACGCCGUAAACGAUGGGCACUAGACGCGGGUGGGAUCGACCCCUUCCGUGUCGCAGCUAACGCGAUAAGUGCCCCGCUGGGAUACGGCCGCAAGGCUG
This 371-nucleotide ribosomal RNA is filed under the name uncultured organism. Its description in RNAcentral is "bacterial SSU rRNA". It matches the Rfam family "Bacterial small subunit ribosomal RNA", at positions 526 to 896 of the family's 1533-position model. The record is from RNAcentral.